Long non-coding RNA from Anolis carolinensis (green anole), 1552 nucleotides. RefSeq lists it as uncharacterized. Lineage: Eukaryota; Metazoa; Chordata; Lepidosauria; Squamata; Anolidae. The transcript has 3 exons. The record is from RefSeq and is a predicted model, not a curated record.
AGUUUCCGAUGCCAUUCCUCUCCAGAGAGAGUGGAGCUUUGCUCGGACAAAUGCGGUGCUCGCCUUGCUCUACCGCAAAUUGUUUGUGCCCUUCAAGCCGGAGGAGUUGGUCCGCCAUUUGCAGCACGUCCUGGAGACGAGCGAAGUCAACUGGCAUCACGUCCUCUCCUGCGUUUCCACGCUGCUGGUCUGCCAGUCGGGAGCCGCACCACUGAUUAAAGACUUCCUGAGCCAUCUGCUGAAGAAAGGCUUUGAGGACUAUGACUUGGAAAGCAUGAUGACGGCGUUCCUGAUCGCGCGCCAGGCUGGCCUGGAGGGUCCUGCCGUUUUCAUGCCUUACGCAGAAUGGUUUAAGGUAAGAGCCUAAGAUAGAUCAUGAGUUCUGACAUUAAAUUGCCUCAUUUAUGGUCCUAACCAUACAGGUUUGCAUUGGCGGACCCAAAGAGACAUCUCAGGAAUUUGCUAUGUCCUCUGCCACAAUUACCCAUUGAAUUUUGACUUGUGAGUUUUAACCUGCUUUAUACUAGUGUGGUCUUGUGAGUAUUUUUUUUUUUGGCCCAGUUCCUUUUAGGAGCCAAUCCUGGAUUUUACUAAAGUAUGACUAUUUUACCGUGUUUCCCCGAAAAUAAGACAGUGUCUUAUAUUAUUUUUUACUCCCAAAGAUGCGCUAGGUCUUAUUUUCAGGGGAUGUCUUAUUUUUCUAUGAAGAAGAAUUCAUAUCCAUUGUUGAACAAAAAAAAAUGAACAUUUAUUCUAUACUGUACAGAAGUUGUCAUCACAAACCAACAUAACUAAACCAGACAAACUGUGACCCCUGUCAAGAAUUUCUUGUUACUACCAUUAUUUACAUAUACAACUGGUAUGUAAGCCGCCCCAAGUCCCUCUGGGGAGAUGGAGGCGGGGUAUAAAAAUAAAAUAAUAAUAAUUAUUAUUAUUUUAUUUUAUUGUAUGACGCAGCAAACAAGAUAGAUAUGCUGGAUUUCGUAUCACAAAAUCACAAGUCAAACACUUCCCAAGUGUCUAGGACUGUGUGAUGUAUAUUAUUAUUAUUAUUAUUAUUAUUAUUAUUAUUAUUAUUAUUAUUAUUAUUAUUUUAUUAUGACACAGCAAACAAGAUAGAUAUGCUGGAUUUCGUAUUGCAAAAUCACAAGUCGAACACUUCCCAAGUGUCUAGGACUGUGUGAUACAUUAUUAUUAUUAUUAUUAUUAUGUACAUUUACCAACCCUGCAUGCUACGGUGUUUUGUUUGACGGGCGCCGGGCAUGCUUCCAAACAAAAACUUUGCUAGGUCUUACUUUCAGGGGAGGCCUUAUAUUUAGCAAUUUAGCAAAACCUCUACUAGGUCUUAUUUUUUGGGGAUGUCUUACUUUCAGGGAAACAGGGUAUGUGAUCUUAUUAGUUUUUAUGAUCUAUUCUAUUGUUGAUUGAUUUGUUUUAUUGUUGUGUUUUUACAUUGUUUGUUUAUCCUGGGCUUGGCCCCAUGUAAGCCGCCCCAAGUCCCUUUGGGGAGAUGGGGCUGGGUAUAAAAAUAAAAAUAAAAUAAUAAGAAUAA